GAUGAACGCUGGCGGCGUGCUUAAUACAUGCAAGUCGAACGGAGAUAGUAGCAAUAUUAUCUUAGUGGCGAACGGGUGAGUAACGCGUUGGUGACCUGCCCCGAAGAGAGGGAUAGCAGUUCGAAAGGACUGAUAAUACCUCAUGUGGUUGAGAGUUUUAGAAUCUCUUAACUAAACGGAUUUAUUCGCUUCGGGAGGGGCCUGCGUCCCAUCAGCUAGUUGGUAAGGUAACGGCUUACCAAGGCGAUGACGGGUAGGGGACCUGAGAGGGUGGCCCCCCACAAUGGAACUGAAACACGGUCCAUACACCUACGGGUGGCAGCAGUAGGGAAUAUUGGUAAUGUGCGAAAGCGCGAACCAGCAACGCCGCGUGCACGAUGAAGGCCUUCGGGUCGUAAAGUGCUUUUAGAGAGGAUGAGGAAGGACAGUACUUUCUGAAUAAGCCUCGGCUAACUACGUG
Molecule: ribosomal RNA, 460 nt
Filed under: uncultured organism
Description: bacterial SSU rRNA
Rfam family: Bacterial small subunit ribosomal RNA
Source: RNAcentral